This is a long non-coding RNA of Cottoperca gobio, 1008 nucleotides long. RefSeq lists it as uncharacterized. Lineage: Eukaryota; Metazoa; Chordata; Actinopteri; Perciformes; Bovichtidae. The transcript is spliced from 6 exons. The record is from RefSeq and is a predicted model, not a curated record.
AACACAAAACUGGUUGGAACCGGUUUCGUUCUUAUAUUUCAGGGUAUAAACUACAAAAACAUUCGUUUGCAUUAUACAUUCGCCAUUUUACGCAGCGACUUGACGGUUGUUGUGUGUUAUCUCUACGUUUUUACGGUUCUAUUUUUGUGAGCGUUCCGCUAUUUUCCUACCGACAACAUGGUCAAGUCAAAGUAUGCUAUCGUGGAGCGGAGAACUUCCCCGCGGCUGGCUCUGAGAACCCAACCUAAUGUUGCAUCGGAGACUAAGAAAAAAUCUGCCACAAAAAAGGCACCCAAGGCGAAGAAGACCAAACCAGCUGAAAAUGGAAGCACCAAGGCUGAGGAGCCAAAGGCCGAAGCCACUGAAGCCAAAUGAAUAACGAUGCGCUCACUCUGUGUACUUGGUGAUUGUACAGUUUCAAAUAAGUAUUUUUUACCAAGUUUUAUAUUACAAAUGUCAUUUAUAGGUUUGUUUUGGGCUUGCACUUGAUGUAACAAAAGUUUGUUGUCACAUUCAUAUCCAUUUAAUAUCCAUUUAAAAAUGAUUACCGUCCAUAUCUUGUAGACGUGGCAUUUUUAGUCGGUUUAAUCCUGUUUGUUUCUUUUUUUACUUUUUUUUUUAACUGCUGAGUAAUAGAUAUCUUCCAACAAGUUGGAAUCUGAAUCUAAUUUUAAACAUUAUAAGGCAGCUAAAGCAUAUUGUUAAAAUUUGAGGGAGGAUAGGAAUUUUGCCUUUUAUCUCCUUGUAUUUUAAUGUUAAACUAAUAAGAAAUUGCUUACCAAAUGUUUUUGAAACACUGUAUGUUGACACGCUUUCCAGUCAGUAAAAAUACCACACAAAAAAUACUGUUAUUAGGUCAAAAAGAUUGAUACAUCCCAAAAAACAUGUAUGAUGUGAUCCUGGUCAUCUGAUGAAAAGUCCUGUUAAGUUAUGUUUCUGUUCUGACUGAAGCUUUUCUGACUUUAAUGGUUGAUCUAAAUGUUGUUCAAUAAAAAUUGUCAAAAUGUC